This 382-nucleotide ribosomal RNA is filed under the name uncultured eukaryote. RNAcentral's name for it is "partial 18S ribosomal RNA". It matches the Rfam family "Eukaryotic small subunit ribosomal RNA", at positions 592 to 976 of the family's 1831-position model. The record is from RNAcentral.
UGUAAGCGUAUACCAAAGUUGUUGCAGUUAAAACGCUCGUAGUCGGAAUUUGGCAGUUCCGGAUGUGUGCACGUCGUGUGCGCACUUCGCGGGGAUUGCUUUUGUGGUCUUGCGUAGGAUGAGGCACUUUUAUUAGUGAACGUCCUCACGCAACCACUUUUUACUGUGAGAAAAUCAGAGUGCUCAAAGCAGGCAUUUGCCGUGAAUGUAUUAGCCUGGAAUAAUAGAAUAGGACUUGGUUCUAUUUUGUUGGUUUGUUGGGACUGAGUAAUGAUUAAGAGGGACAGUUGGGGGCAUUUGUAUUUCGGUGCUAGAGGUGAAAUUCUUAGAUUACCGAAAGACAAACUGCUGCGAAAGCGUCUGCCAAGGAUGUUUUCAUUGA